AUGGCGUGCGUGACAGUUCCGGCGGCCACGGCGGAGAUGGAGCGCGCCUUUGCUCUACCCCCGGGGUAUCGGUUCCACCCCACGGACCAUGAGCUGGUGAAUUGGUUCCUCAAGCGCAAGCUCCUCGGCCUCCCCAUCGACCUCGACUUCAUCCCGGUGGUGGACGUCUACAGGUUCGAGCCGGACCAACUACCAGACAAAUCAUUCUCACCGAGCACAGGCGACCCAGGGGCUAAAGUUGAGUGGUACUUUUUUGCGCCGAGGGUUCGAAAGUACCCAACCGGCCUUCGCAUGGAGCGGGCGACGCUAAAAGGGUUUUGGAAGUCUACGGGGAAGGACCGUCCAGUCAUCCACAACGGCAUCGUAGUCGGCAUGAAGAAGACGCUUGUGUUUCAUAUCGGCAAAGCACCUAGGGGCACACGGACCAACUGGGUCAUGCACGAGUACCGCCUCCAUCCCGAUCACCGUAUCCAUGACACCUACGUGCUAUGUCGGAUCUUCAACAAGAACACCAUGACCCAAUCACCAGACCUGCUCAGUGGCGUCGACAUGGAUGAGGAAGGGAUGCAUUUGGUGGCCAACAACGCCGACAUGGACAACGAAGGGUUCCAGCCGAUGUCCGGCGGUGCCAAUGCCAGCAAGGAAGCAAUCCACCCCGUGUUCCACAACGCCAACACGGACAAGGAAGGGAUCAAUCCUGUGUCAGGUAACAUCGUCGGGGACAUGGAAGGGAUCUAUCCCAUGCCAGGCGACAUCUUUGCGGACAUGGCAGGGGUACAUCCCAUGUUCGGCGGCGCCGUCCCACACAACGAAGAGACCGAUCCAAUGUCAGAUAGCGUCGUCAGGGACAUGGAAGGGAUCCAUCCUAUGUCAGAUAGCUUCAUCCCGGACAUGGAAGGGAUACAUCCCGUGUUCGGCGGCGCCGUCCCACACAACGAAGAGACCGAUCCCAUGUCAGCAGGUGUUUACACGGAUGUGGAUUUUUCCUGGAUGCAGCUUGUGCCUGACGACAUUUGCUGCCCCAACAUUGAACUAGAUAAGGAUGACUCCUGGGGGCUCAACAGUGUGUCAAACUCGAAUCUAAUCCCUCGGCCGGUGGUACAAGCUAGCAAGAUCGAUGCCGCGCGUGUGGGUGGGCGAAGCACGGUGAGGCGGGAAGCGGACGGCAUGUUUGCAGGCGCACAAGACAUGAUGAUGCCGAGCGGCUGCACCAAGGGCGGGCGAGCGUACGUACCUGGUCAGCGACUACUCCGGCCGGCCGGCGCGUGGUGCCCAGCGUGGUCGAGGAGGACGACCGAGAAGAGCCCAAGUCUUGGCGCUGUCGAGGAGGACGUACGUGAUGGUGAUGUCCCGGUGAACCAUCCAUCCAUCUCCUCGGCCAGGCCCUGCUUGGACUUGGAGGCUGGGAUGAUAGCUGGUGGAGUGGUCCUGGUCGCCCCCUCGCCCAGGCCCCAGGUGAGCUUGCUUGUACUUGGUGGCUGGGAUCGCUGGUGGAGUGGUCGCCCCCUCGCCCUCAACGCAGCACCCCACCACCGCCAGGUUCGGGUGCUUCACGGCUGGACGCCGGCGCACACGGAGCAGACGAACCAACAGCGGCACCUCCACCACCACCAGCACCACCUCCACCAUCUCUCUCUCUCUCUCCCCCUCUCCCCCAGUAUGAUAUUUUUCUUCCUUUUCAGAUCUGGAUCUUUAGAAGCCUAG
This 1704-nucleotide ribosomal RNA is filed under the name Triticum aestivum (bread wheat). Its description in RNAcentral is "partial small subunit ribosomal RNA". Lineage: Eukaryota; Viridiplantae; Streptophyta; Magnoliopsida; Poales; Poaceae. The record is from RNAcentral.